RNAcentral lists this ribosomal RNA (612 nucleotides) under Clostridium botulinum. RNAcentral's name for it is "bacterial SSU rRNA". It matches the Rfam family "Bacterial small subunit ribosomal RNA", at positions 397 to 1025 of the family's 1533-position model. The record is from RNAcentral. Lineage: Bacteria; Bacillati; Bacillota; Clostridia; Eubacteriales; Clostridiaceae.
CCGCGUGGGUGAUGAAGGUCUUCGGAUUGUAAAGCCCUGUUUUCUAGGACGAUAAUGACGGUACUAGAGGAGGAAGCCACGGCUAACUACGUGCCAGCAGCCGCGGUAAUACGUAGGUGGCGAGCGUUGUCCGGAUUUACUGGGCGUAAAGGGUGCGUAGGCGGAUGUUUAAGUGGGAUGUGAAAUCCCCGGGCUUAACCUGGGGGCUGCAUUCCAAACUGGAUAUCUAGAGUGCAGGAGAGGAAAGCGGAAUUCCUAGUGUAGCGGUGAAAUGCGUAGAGAUUAGGAAGAACACCAGUGGCGAAGGCGGCUUUCUGGACUGUAACUGACGCUGAGGCACGAAAGCGUGGGUAGCAAACAGGAUUAGAUACCCUGGUAGUCCACGCCGUAAACGAUGGAUACUAGGUGUAGGGGGUAUCAACUCCCCCUGUGCCGCAGUUAACACAAUAAGUAUCCCGCCUGGGGAGUACGGUCGCAAGAUUAAAACUCAAAGGAAUUGACGGGGGCCCGCACAAGCAGCGGAGCAUGUGGUUUAAUUCGAAGCAACGCGAAGAACCUUACCUGGACUUGACAUCCCUUGCAUAGCCUAGAGAUAGGUGAAGCCCUUCGGGG